RNAcentral lists this ribosomal RNA (505 nucleotides) under uncultured soil bacterium. RNAcentral describes it as "bacterial SSU rRNA". It matches the Rfam family "Bacterial small subunit ribosomal RNA", at positions 35 to 553 of the family's 1533-position model. The record is from RNAcentral.
GCUGGCGGCGUGGAUCAGACAUGCAAGUCGAACGGGGUUAAUCUGGUAGCAAUAUUGGGUUAAUCUAGUGGCGAACGGGUGCGUAACACGUGACCAACCUGCCUAGAAGUGGGGGAUAGCUCGCCGAAAGGCGAAUUAAUACCGCAUGUGAUCGUAAGAUUAAAGCAGCAAUGCGCUUUUAGAGGGGGUCGCGGCCUAUCAGCUAGUUGGUGAGGUAAAGGCUUACCAAGGCAGCGACGGGUAGCUGGUCUGAGAGGACGACCAGCCACACUGGAACUGAGACACGGUCCAGACACCUACGGGUGGCAGCAGUCGAGAAUUUUUCUCAAUGGGGGAAACCCUGAAGGAGCGACGCCGCGUGGAGGAUGAAGGCUUUCGGGUUGUAAACUCCUGUCAUCUGGGAACAAAACUCGUAAGAGCUUGAUAGUACCAGAAGAGGAAGAGACGGCUAACUCUGUGCCAGCAGCCGCGGUAAUACAGAGGUCUCAAGCGUUGUUCGGAUUCA